Molecule: ribosomal RNA, 1506 nt
Filed under: metagenome
Description: bacterial SSU rRNA
Rfam family: Bacterial small subunit ribosomal RNA
Source: RNAcentral
AGAGUUUGAUCCUGGCUCAGGACGAACGCUGGCGGCGUGCCUAAUACAUGCAAGUAGAACGCUGAAGAGAGGAGCUUGCUCUUCUUGGAUGAGUUGCGAACGGGUGAGUAACGCGUAGGUAACCUGCCUUGUAGCGGGGGAUAACUAUUGGAAACGAUAGCUAAUACCGCAUAACAAUGGAUGACCCAUGUCAUUUAUUUGAAAGGGGCAAAUGCUCCACUACAAGAUGGACCUGCGUUGUAUUAGCUAGUAGGUGAGGUAACGGCUCACCUAGGCGACGAUACAUAGCCGACCUGAGAGGGUGAUCGGCCACACUGGGACUGAGACACGGCCCAGACUCCUACGGGAGGCAGCAGUAGGGAAUCUUCGGCAAUGGGGGCAACCCUGACCGAGCAACGCCGCGUGAGUGAAGAAGGUUUUCGGAUCGUAAAGCUCUGUUGUAAGUCAAGAACGAGUGUGAGAGUGGAAAGUUCACACUGUGACGGUAGCUUACCAGAAAGGGACGGCUAACUACGUGCCAGCAGCCGCGGUAAUACGUAGGUCCCGAGCGUUGUCCGGAUUUAUUGGGCGUAAAGCGAGCGCAGGCGGUUUGAUAAGUCUGAAGUUAAAGGCUGUGGCUCAACCAUAGUUCGCUUUGGAAACUGUCAAACUUGAGUGCAGAAGGGGAGAGUGGAAUUCCAUGUGUAGCGGUGAAAUGCGUAGAUAUAUGGAGGAACACCGGUGGCGAAAGCGGCUCUCUGGUCUGUAACUGACGCUGAGGCUCGAAAGCGUGGGGAGCGAACAGGAUUAGAUACCCUGGUAGUCCACGCCGUAAACGAUGAGUGCUAGGUGUUGGAUCCUUUCCGGGAUUCAGUGCCGCAGCUAACGCAUUAAGCACUCCGCCUGGGGAGUACGACCGCAAGGUUGAAACUCAAAGGGAUUGACGGGGGCCCGCACAAGCGGUGGAGCAUGUGGUUUAAUUCGAAGCAACGCGAAGAACCUUACCAGGUCUUGACAUCCCGAUGCUAUUUCUAGAGAUAGAAAGUUACUUCGGUACAUCGGUGACAGGUGGUGCAUGGUUGUCGUCAGCUCGUGUCGUGAGAUGUUGGGUUAAGUCCCGCAACGAGCGCAACCCCUAUUGUUAGUUGCCAUCAUUCAGUUGGGCACUCUAGCGAGACUGCCGGUAAUAAACCGGAGGAAGGUGGGGAUGACGUCAAAUCAUCAUGCCCCUUAUGACCUGGGCUACACACGUGCUACAAUGGUUGGUACAACGAGUUGCGAGUCGGUGACGGCAAGCUAAUCUCUUAAAGCCAAUCUCAGUUCGGAUUGUAGGCUGCAACUCGCCUACAUGAAGUCGGAAUCGCUAGUAAUCGCGGAUCAGCACGCCGCGGUGAAUACGUUCCCGGGCCUUGUACACACCGCCCGUCACACCACGAGAGUUUGUAACACCCGAAGUCGGUGAGGUAACCUUUUGGAGCCAGCCGCCUAAGGUGGGAUAGAUGAUUGGGGUGAAGUCGUAACAAGGUA